Molecule: long non-coding RNA, 437 nt
Filed under: Mus musculus (house mouse)
Lineage: Eukaryota; Metazoa; Chordata; Mammalia; Rodentia; Muridae
Description: long non-coding RNA chr7:100624517-100624954
Source: RNAcentral
AUGAUGGCUACCAGAGCACUUAGCUUAAUUGGCAAGAGAGCCAUUUCUACUUCGGUAUAUGUCCUGAUCACACGGGAGUGUUAUAAAGAGUGAAGACUAUGCUCUCCCUGGUUGUGUUGAUAUGCAUGACCACCCAUGCCUGGUGUGGCCCAUGUCAGGCUGCUGUCUGCCAGCUAGAAAGCCCUGAAGGAGAAGGCUGGCCUGCAGCAGCCUGUCCAGCCAUGACAAAGUCCAAUUGUACUGCAUCCAGUUUAACAAGAGCUUUGCUAAGAUGAACAGGAGCACCAAUGAGUGGAAAACUCUUGUGGGCGUGGCCAUGUUUUUCAUGGGAUUCAUGCUCUAAUUCUGAUGUGGGAGAAACACCAUGGGUACAGCCCCAUCCCUCAUAGCUUUGAUGGAGACUGGGUGGCUAUGCAAAGCCAGCAGAUGCUGGACAA